This 1134-nucleotide long non-coding RNA is filed under the name Mytilus galloprovincialis (Mediterranean mussel). Lineage: Eukaryota; Metazoa; Mollusca; Bivalvia; Mytilida; Mytilidae. The record is from RNAcentral.
AAUGUUCGGCAAAGUUAGAUUUACAAAUAAGUCAACAUGACCGAAAUGGUCAGUUGACCCCUUUAGGAGUUAUUGCCCUUUAUAGUCAAUUUUUAACCAUUUUUCAUAAAUCUAAGUAAUCUUUUACAAAAAUCUUCUCUGAAACUACUGGGCCAAAUUAAUCCAAACUUGGCCACAAUCAUCUUUGGGGUAUCUAGUUUAAAAAAUGUGUGGCGUGACCGGUCAAACCAACCAAGAUGGCCGCCACGGCUAAAAAUAGAACAUAGGGGUAAAAUGCAGUUUUUGGCUUAUAACUCAAAAACCAAAGCAUUUAGAGGAAAUCUGAUGUGGGGUAAAAAUGUUUAUCAGGUCAAGAUCUAUCUGCCCUGAAAUUUUCAGAUGAAUCGGUCAACCUGUUGUUGGGUUGCUGCCCCUGAAUUGGUAAUUUUGAGGAAAUUUUGCCGUUUUUGGUUAUUAUCUUGAAUAUUAUUAUAGAUAGAGAUAAACUGUAAACAGCAAUAAUGUUCAGCAAAGUUAGAUUUACAAAUAAGUCAACAUGACCGAAAUGGUCAGUUGACCCCUUAAGGAGUUAUUGCCCUUUAUAGUCAUUUUUUAACCAUUUUUCAUAAAUCUAAGUAAUCUUUUACAAAAAUCUUCUCCUCUGAAACUACUGGGCCAAAUUAAUCCAAAGUUGGCCACAAUCAUCUUUGGGGUAUCUAGUUUAAAAAAUGUGUGGGGUGACCCGGUCAACCAACCAAGAUGGCCGCCACGGCUAAAAAUAGAACAUAGGGGUAAAAUGCAGUUUUUGGCUUAUAACUCAAAAACCAAAACAUUUAGAGGAAAUCUGACAUGGAGUAAAAAUGUUUAUCAGGUCAAGAUCUAUCUGCCCUGAAAUUUUCAGAUGAAUCGGUCAACCUGUUGUUGGGUUGCUGCCCCUGAAUUGAUAAUUUUGAGGAAAUUUUGCUGUUUUUGGUUAUUAUCUUGAAUAUUAUUAUAGAUAGAGAUAAACUGUAAACAGCAAUAAUGUUCAUCAAAGUAAGAUUUACAAAUAAGUGUCAUGACCGAAAUGGUCAGUUGACCCCUUUAGGAGUUAUUGCCCUUUAUAGUCAAUUUUUAACCAUUUUUCGUAAAUCUUAGUUAUCUUUUACAAAAAAU